This 309-nucleotide ribosomal RNA is filed under the name Triticum aestivum (bread wheat). RNAcentral describes it as "partial small subunit ribosomal RNA". Lineage: Eukaryota; Viridiplantae; Streptophyta; Magnoliopsida; Poales; Poaceae. The record is from RNAcentral.
AUGUGUUGUUCUUUUCUACUAAUUAUUGGUGAAGGUCAGGCGAGUACUAAUCUUAUACGUAAUUCUGUUGUGCUUCUCUUGGUUCAUAUAUGCUCAAAUUUGAACUAUUUGACUGAAUUCUGUUUCUUUUUGGUGAAUUAUGUCUACAAAAUUGCAUGUCUACAGUAUGUGAACUCACUAUCAUCUAAUUUCUGGAACAUUGGCAAAAUAUGCAUCAGUUUUCAGAAACACAAUCAUGAGUAUAUCUGUAUGAGCAUGCAUCAUUUCGGUACAAGUUCGAAUAUGGAUGCACUGAAUGUCUCUCUAUGA